GGCGGCGUGCCUAAUACAUGCAAGUCGAGCGAACUGAUUAGAAGCUUGCUUCUAUGACGUUAGCGGCGGACGGGUGAGUAACACGUGGGCAACCUGCCUGUAAGACUGGGAUAACUUCGGGAAACCGAAGCUAAUACCGGAUAGGAUCUUCUCCUUCAUGGGAGAUGAUUGAAAGAUGGUUUCGGCUAUCACUUACAGAUGGGCCCGCGGUGCAUUAGCUAGUUGGUGAGGUAACGGCUCACCAAGGCAACGAUGCAUAGCCGACCUGAGAGGGUGAUCGGCCACACUGGGACUGAGACACGGCCCAGACUCCUACGGGAGGCAGCAGUAGGGAAUCUUCCGCAAUGGACGAAAGUCUGACGGAGCAACGCCGCGUGAGUGAUGAAGGCUUUCGGGUCGUAAAACUCUGUUGUUAGGGAAGAACAAGUACAAGAGUAACUGCUUGUACCUUGACGGUACCUAACCAGAAAGCCACGGCUAACUACGUGCCAGCAGCCGCGGUAAUACGUAGGUGGCAAGCGUUAUCCGGAAUUAUUGGGCGUAAAGCGCGCGCAGGCGGUUUCUUAAGUCUGAUGUGAAAGCCCACGGCUCAACCGUGGAGGGUCAUUGGAAACUGGGGAACUUGAGUGCAGAAGAGAAAAGCGGAAUUCCACGUGUAGCGGUGAAAUGCGUAGAGAUGUGGAGGAACACCAGUGGCGAAGGCGGCUUUUUGGUCUGUAACUGACGCUGAGGCGCGAAAGCGUGGGGAGCAAACAGGAUUAGAUAC
RNAcentral lists this ribosomal RNA (766 nucleotides) under Priestia megaterium. RNAcentral's name for it is "bacterial SSU rRNA". It matches the Rfam family "Bacterial small subunit ribosomal RNA", at positions 38 to 785 of the family's 1533-position model. The record is from RNAcentral. Lineage: Bacteria; Bacillati; Bacillota; Bacilli; Caryophanales; Bacillaceae.